GACGAACGCUGGCGGCGUGCUUAACACAUGCAAGUCGAGCGGAAAGGCCUUUUCGGAGGUACUCGAGUGGCGAACGGGUGAGUAACACGUGGGUGAUCUGCCCUGCACUCUGGGAUAAGCCUGGGAAACUGGGUCUAAUACCGGAUAGGACCGCACUUUAGUGUGUGUGGUGGAAAGUUUUUUCGGUGUAGGAUGAGCCCGCGGCCUAUCAGCUUGUUGGUGGGGUAAUGGCCUACCAAGGCGGCGACGGGUAGCCGGACUGAGAGGUUGGUCGGCCACAUUGGGACUGAGAUACGGCCCAGACUCCUACGGGAGGCAGCAGUGGGGAAUAUUGCACAAUGGGCGCAAGCCUGAUGCAGCGACGCCGCGUGGGGGAUGACGGCCUUCGGGUUGUAAACUCCUUUCGCCAGGGACGAAGCGUUUUGUGACGGUACCUGGAGAAGAAGCACCGGCUAACUACGUG
RNAcentral lists this ribosomal RNA (463 nucleotides) under uncultured bacterium. RNAcentral's name for it is "partial 16S ribosomal RNA". It matches the Rfam family "Bacterial small subunit ribosomal RNA", at positions 28 to 507 of the family's 1533-position model. The record is from RNAcentral.